Molecule: long non-coding RNA, 910 nt
Organism: Carassius auratus (goldfish)
Lineage: Eukaryota; Metazoa; Chordata; Actinopteri; Cypriniformes; Cyprinidae
Exons: 3
Source: RefSeq, a predicted model, not a curated record
UUGCAGAGCAUCUCACAUAUUUCAUCAGUGCACUGUUUCAGCAAAGAAAGGCGAUGAACGUCAGGUUGCCAGAUCCACGUAUGUGAACAGCUCAUCUGGGCAUGCUAAACCAGGGCAGUGCCAAGCAUGUGGCCGAGAUCCAUCGAAUUGUGGUGCAUGAAUUCUACAGUGCGAGAAAUUUUGACUAUGACAUCGCCCUUGUGCAGUUGAAGAAGGCCUGGCCCAGCAGUCUGGUAAAAUAUAUCCACAGUAUGGUACAAUAAAUACAAUAUACCUUCCUGCGGCCCCUUCACAGACCUUCACUGAGGGACAUCGCUGCUGGGUCACCGGUUGGGCCUACCGUUCUGAACAGGAUAAGGUUCUACCCACUGUAUUGCAGAAGGCAGAAGUUAGCAUUAUAGGCCAGAGUGAAUGUAAGAGAAGCUAUGGCAGUGUCACCCCACAUGCGGUGUGCUGGUGUGCCUUCAGGAGAGCAGGGUGCCUGCCUGGUGAGGGGAGAUAACACUCAUUGGACUGGUUCCUGCUUUAUGAACCAAGCAUAAGCUUAGUAUCUCUUUCAAAACAUUAUUAAAAGACCUAAUCUCUCUUGUUGAUGAAAGUGAGCUGUCUCUGGAUUUUUACAUAACCAAUUUUUAAUUCCAGGGAGGUUCAGGGAGUCUCUGUCCUGUCGAGCACACUCGGGCCGCUGGUUUCUGACAGGCAUUGUGAGCUGGGGUUCCGGCUGCGGCAGACUCAACCUUCCCGGAGCUCAGACUGGAUCCAAAGACAUAUUAAAAAAUUAUGAAACAGCCAAUAAAUCGACCUUACAAUAAAUUAUGUAUUUCACACACUCAAAACAAGCCAUUGUCAUCUCAACAACUGUUCCCCAGCAAAUACAUGUGUCUGUCAAUCAUGUAACACCAUUAUAUUA